GAUGAACGCUGACAGAAUGCUUAACACAUGCAAGUCUACUUGAACUUCGGUUUGGGUGGCGGACGGGUGAGUAACGCGUAAAGAACUUGCCUCACAGUUAGGGACAACAUUUGGAAACGGAUGCUAAUACCUGAUAUUAUGAUUUUAGGGCAUCCUAAGAUUAUGAAAGCUAUAUGCGCUGUGAGAGAGCUUUGCGUCCCAUUAGCUAGUUGGAGAGGUAACGGCUCACCAAGGCGAUGAUGGGUAGCCGGCCUGAGAGGGUGAACGGCCACAAGGGGACUGAGACACGGCCCUUACUCCUACGGGAGGCAGCAGUGGGGAAUAUUGGACAAUGGACCAAAAGUCUGAUCCAGCAAUUCUGUGUGCACGAUGACGUUUUUCGGAAUGUAAAGUGCUUUCAGUUGGGAAGAAAAAAAUGACGGUACCAACAGAAGAAGUGACGGCUAAAUACGUGCCAGCAGCCGCGGUAAUACGUAUGUCACAAGCGUUAUCCGGAUUUAUUGGGCGUAAAGCGCGUCUAGGUGGUUAUGUAAGUCUGAUGUGAAAAUGCAGGGCUCAACUCUGUAUUGCGUUGGAAACUGCAUGACUAGAGUACUGGAGAGGUAAGCGGAACUACAAGUGUAGAGGUGAAAUUCGUAGAUAUUUGUAGGAAUGCCGAUGGGGAAGCCAGCUUACUGGACAGAUACUGACGCUAAAGCGCGAAAGCGUGGGUAGCAAACAGG
RNAcentral lists this ribosomal RNA (722 nucleotides) under uncultured Fusobacterium sp. RNAcentral describes it as "bacterial SSU rRNA". It matches the Rfam family "Bacterial small subunit ribosomal RNA", at positions 28 to 776 of the family's 1533-position model. The record is from RNAcentral. Lineage: Bacteria; Fusobacteriati; Fusobacteriota; Fusobacteriia; Fusobacteriales; Fusobacteriaceae.